CUUGCGCCCCGGCUUGAGUGGAAAUCCUUUUUGCUUACAAAUCAGUUCUAAUUAUAAAAAAAAUUUCGAAGCAAAAAGAUUGGGAACGGAAGACGGAUUAAGGC
This 104-nucleotide unclassified non-coding RNA is filed under the name Halpernia frigidisoli. RNAcentral's name for it is "Chryseobacterium frigidisoli Flavo-1 RNA". The record is from RNAcentral. Lineage: Bacteria; Pseudomonadati; Bacteroidota; Flavobacteriia; Flavobacteriales; Weeksellaceae.